Molecule: ribosomal RNA, 441 nt
Filed under: uncultured bacterium
Lineage: Bacteria
Description: partial 16S ribosomal RNA
Rfam family: Bacterial small subunit ribosomal RNA
Source: RNAcentral
CCUACGGGAGGCUGCAGUGGGGAAUAUUGGGCAAUGGAGGAAACUCUGACCCAGCAACGCCGCGUGAAGGAUGAAGGUUUUCGGAUUGUAAACUUCUGUCGCGAGGGAUGAAGAAUGACGGUACCUGACUAAGAAGCCCCGGCUAACUACGUGCCAGCAGCCGCGGUAAUACGUAGGGGGCAAGCGUUAUCCGGAUUUACUGGGUGUAAAGGGAGCGCAGACGGCUGUGCAAGUCUGGAGUGAAAGGCGGGGGCCCAACCCCCGGACUGCUCUGGAAACUGUAAAGCUGGAGUGCAGGAGAGGUAAGCGGAAGUCCUAGUGUAGCGGUGAAAUGCGUAGAUAUUAGGAGGAACACCAGUGGCGAAGGCGGCUUACUGGACUGCAACUGACGUUGAGGCUCGAAAGCGUGGGGAGCAAACAGGAUUAGAUACCCUUGUAGUC